CAUUUUUUUACUGUUUGGCCGUGUCGGGUGGUGGAGGGUUACGACACAUUUAUAAAUAACGCGAUCUAACCCCAAAAACCUUUAUUAUGAAUAAUAUUGGUCGCGAAAGCCUACGUAUUAAACUGACCAAGUCAUUCUGAUGUCUCACUUUCUAUCGGUACACAGGCCUGGGUCCCAUCAUACACGUUUUUUUGGCAGCUGACUUAUCUUACUUGGGAUUCCAUAGCAGCCUAGCAGUUCAAUCAAGCCUUCGCGCAACCCAGAGUCAUAGGCUUGCUUAAAAUACAAGAUCAUCUCCAUAAUCGGGCGUCUUAUCGUAAUGAUUUUAAAUCCACACCGAUUGUACACUCCAUCAUGCAAGCCCACACACAGACCGAGCUGCAGAUGGCGCUAGUGCACUGACGUCCUUAAAGGUCGGCUGCGGCAAACGUGACCCGCAGCUCAAAUAAACCCAGCCACCCAGAAUAACAGGAAUGCUAUAAUUCAUGCACGUGGUGAAGAUACCUAUGCUUUCCCCCUCGAUUUUGUUUAAUUUAAGUGGUAUAUGAGAACAACAGUAGUUAGCAGAGGUACAUUCACAUCAUUGCAAUUCUUGUUUGUGUUAUUUCUCUUUGAAGCCGGUUUUUUUUAGUUAUAUAGAUAACCGGAAUUCUUGUGCUGUAAAAAGGAAUUGAGCAGUGAGUAUGUAGUGAAAUAUAACCGUUAUUGCUUUUAUGCAGUUGUUACCGUUUGUGUCGUUAAUUGGUCUCAAUGUCCAUUCCGCUUGAUAAAGUCAGUCUGGUUUAGUCCUAACACUGUGACCCAACAUUUCGACUGAUGCAGUUAUGUAAGUGACACGCACGCCUUUAUCGUACCGUAUAGCAAUGCAUGAUCUGCAGAAUUGUUGUGUUUUGUGCCAAAUGUUUCAUCACCUAUUUGAAUGGCAUGCACUGUCAUUUGCAGUCGUGCAUACUUCCUUCUGCAUAGUCACGUCGGGAAAAUCCAAUUCUGCAUUCAGUAUUUGUGUAAAAUCACGGAUUGAAAGGUUUUUUUUAAAAACACAUUUCAAAUAUUCAUUUUAUUAAAAUCACAGUCAACUACGCAGAAGUUGUAUGGUCUAAACACUAAAGUGGCCAGCAACAGAGAGAACUGGAGAUGGUACGGCAGGUAGGAAUGAACAGUUAUGAAAAAAAUGUGAAUAGUUUUACCCUUUCUGGCAACAAAACAGGUGUUAAGAUGUUCAAACGCCAAAUAGAAACAUUUUGCAAUGAAUGAAGUAUGCAUUAACCGCACGUGUACUUGUAGUGAACAUGCACACGGACAUGCUCUGAUAACAUACGCAUUGUCUUUGAAACUGUCUCACCAGUGCCAGACCAGAGAACGCCAAAAAGCAAAGAGUACGCCGCACUAUCAGAGCAUUUUAGCUCGGGGUAAGCGUCUGCCUUUUCGCGUUCUCUUGUCUGAAACUGGUUAGACUGGGUCCUAAAGAAGACUGCCUCUGGUGUGGGCCAAUCAGUUUCAAAGACAAUGCGUAUAUGGGCAUAUAGCAUGUUUGUUUGCAUGUUCGCCACACGUACGUGUGGUUAAUGCAGACUUGAUUCCUUUGCAAAUGUGUGUGUUUUUUUGUGGUGUUUGAACAUCUUAACGCCUGUUUUAUUUCCAGGAAGGUUAAAAUAUAUUCUUGUUUUUUCAUACUCUCAAACUGGCUAAAAUGAAUUAACAAGCUUCUGGAAUUGUCACAUUGAUUUUUUGUUUAAAUAUAGAAUGAGUUCCAAAGUGGGGGCAAACACAAAAACACAUUGCAUAUGCCCCGCGGUGUAAUGAGGCAGCUGCGUGCAGUUUGAGAGGAGUCAGCCAAGAUCACAUUUUAGAAAACGGAUAGUAGCAGCAGAAGAGAGACCAGGCGAUCACAAUGUGCUUGAUCUCUGCGAUCGUUUUAACGAAGAAUUUCUAUUGAGAUUGGAAUGCUAUAAUGCUUAUGGUGGAGAUUUACCUCGCUUUAUGCGGGUUCGGUUUGUGCAAUUUAGCAUAUACGCGGCGAACCUCUUUCUACCGAAACUUCGCUGGAUUACGCGGGUUGAAUGCACUCAUAUGCAGCUGUACGGUCGGAAGUGGGACGACAUUGUGUGGAUAAAUGUUUGCAUAUUCGGAGUGUGUGACUUUUGAAAAUGCACUAUUUUUAACAAAUUUAACUACUGUGUGGAUGUAUUUCCAAUUUUUUGUCGCAUGUGCGGUACGGGUACCGUAAUUUUAUGCUGAUCCUGGACAAAAGCAAUGAUCUCUAAAUAAAGUGUUUUGCGGA
This is a non-coding RNA of Petromyzon marinus (sea lamprey), 2281 nucleotides long. The record is from RefSeq and is a predicted model, not a curated record. Lineage: Eukaryota; Metazoa; Chordata; Hyperoartia; Petromyzontiformes; Petromyzontidae.